GGACUUUUAGCUUAAUGGUAAAGCAACCGCCUCAUAAGCGGUAAGAUGUAGGUCCGAGUCCUGCAAGGUCCA
RNAcentral lists this transfer RNA (72 nucleotides) under Caudoviricetes sp. RNAcentral's name for it is "tRNA-Met". It matches the Rfam family "tRNA". From Rfam's summary of the family: Transfer RNA (tRNA) molecules are approximately 80 nucleotides in length. Their secondary structure includes four short double-helical elements and three loops (D, anti-codon, and T loops). The record is from RNAcentral. Lineage: Duplodnaviria; Heunggongvirae; Uroviricota; Caudoviricetes.